UAAUGCAAACAUUUCCUCUUUCUGGCCUAUAUAUACCCUUCAUCUCCCUCAUCAGCUCUUCACACAAGGAUUAGAAAGUGAACUUCUGUUGAAUGUUAGAGAAAAAAUUGAAUGUUUGUUCUCUCCUCUUAAUCCAGAAAAAAAGGGUGUUAAUUAUAGCUUAUGCAGCAGUGAUACACAUCAGAUUUCAGCAAAUCAAUGGAGAUUAUGGUAAGGGAGGUGACAGAAGAGAGUGAGCACACAUGGUACUUUCUUGGAUGAUAUAAGGUUUCAUGCUUGAAGCUAUGCGUGCUUACUCUCUAUCUGUCACCCCAUCACCAUCUCUUUCUUUCUAUCCUUUAUUUUUCACUUUCUGUUACUAUAUGUGUAUCUUUUUUUUUUCACUUUCCCUUCAUAUGCUAUAAGUAACCCUAGCUAUAGCCUUAGGCUCGUGUUGUCAUAUAUCAUUCAGUAGUAUGCUUUGUGGGCAUCACAUUCCAUGUCUCAGGUAUGUAUAGCUUGUUGCCAUAUAUAUGGAUUUUUCUGUAUUAGAAUGAAUUUGAACUGCAUCAGUUUCCUCAAGAAAAGUACUUUUAUUUCUGUUUGUCUGAGGCACUAAUUAAUUGACGAAUUUUGAUCUUUUAUGCUCUCAGUUAGCCUAAGUUUAAGAGGUUUAAUCACUGAAUAAAUCCUAGCAAGUGAUAUUCCAUACUGUUAAGAAACAAACAGUUUAUUAUGUGUGUAUCAGAUGGUAGUUUACAUAUAAGAUUCUAUUGAAAACCCAUCCUAAUUUUCUUUCAUUUUACUCAUGAUUUUACCAGAUUAACUGCUAGGGUUUAGGGGAUUCUCAGUUAAGAAGAAAAUUAAUCAGCAGAGAUAUGGAAUUGUGACGAAAAAUGGGAUUCUUUGUAGUAAAUGAACUUGGUUUUGCAGAAGUAUAGAUUUAACUGAAAUUAAAUCUUGACUUUGGUUAGAUAGUAUCUGGUAUAUAUGUGCUCAUCUCUCUUUUAUUUAUUUAUUUAUUUUAAAUUUGGGAUUGAACCCACAAGUACUUUUGCAGUUGAAUUGAAAUCUAUGAACUACAAUCUUUCAAAAAAGUAAAACAUACCAGUUAAAAUGAGUAUUAUUUUUUUUGUCUGUAAGUGUUUCUAUGCAUUUUUUACACGAACAGUACUCUACUAUUCAUCUCUCUUUCUAAUGGUGUAUUAUUAGUCCUUUAGAGUAUUAUAUCGUUAUAUCAGAAUAUGAUUUUUAUGGAAUGGUAAUUUUUUUGGUAAGGGUUGGCGUAAUCAAUAUUUAACUUUAUAAUUCAUACUCUCAGACCUUCAUGGAAUAUCUGAGUUACUUUCUUUACUCUAGGGUUCUAAAGCACAGCAUUUGUUUUCGCUAAAUAUAAGUUCUAUGUCACUUUCAGGUUGUAAAAGGUCUUGUUGAUGAAAUGGAGUGCAGACAACUGAAAUCCUCCAGCAAAAAGCUUGGUGGGAAAUUAAAACAAACCAUGUGUAUUUUCUAUAUCUUUAGGGUUGAUAAAAAAAUACCUAUGGGGAAAAGGGGUUGUUCUGGUUGUUAAUUUAUCUUGUUAUAUAUAUGUCAAAAUGAUAAAUGUGUAAUUUUUACCUUACCAAAUGGUAGCAUAUGGAUAAUAAAGAUCUAUAUAUAUACACAAUCAUGUUAUUGUAAUCAAUACUUUGAUCAAAUAUACAUGCACCAUUGCAUGCUAAAAAUGCACAAACUAUGCUAAUUGUAUAGGGUUUGCUCAUAUAUAUUAAGGGUACGUGAAGGAGAAACAGUUUUAAGAGAGAA
RNAcentral lists this long non-coding RNA (1782 nucleotides) under Phaseolus vulgaris (common bean). RNAcentral describes it as "long non-coding RNA (PVUL_LNC004990)". The stretch from base 220 to 310 matches the Rfam family "mir-156 microRNA precursor family". The record is from RNAcentral. Lineage: Eukaryota; Viridiplantae; Streptophyta; Magnoliopsida; Fabales; Fabaceae.